Small nucleolar RNA from Nannospalax galili (Upper Galilee mountains blind mole rat), 130 nucleotides. NCBI's taxonomy places the organism in Eukaryota, Metazoa, Chordata, Mammalia, Rodentia, Spalacidae. The record is from Ensembl.
AGCACUUGUGUAUGUGUUUGCUGAACUGAUGGGCAAAGACAUAAAAAAUAGGUGCAAAAUAAAACCCUCUUUUGCAACACAGAAUUCAUUUUUCAGUUUGAGUUUUAAUGCAUAUAAGAAUCAAGCUAGC